RNAcentral lists this transfer RNA (72 nucleotides) under Panulirus japonicus (Japanese spiny lobster). RNAcentral describes it as "tRNA-Glu". It matches the Rfam family "tRNA". From Rfam's summary of the family: Transfer RNA (tRNA) molecules are approximately 80 nucleotides in length. Their secondary structure includes four short double-helical elements and three loops (D, anti-codon, and T loops). Further hydrogen bonds mediate the characteristic L-shaped molecular structure. tRNAs have two regions of fundamental functional importance: the anti-codon, which is responsible for specific mRNA codon recognition, and the 3' end, to which the tRNAs corresponding amino acid is attached (by aminoacyl-tRNA synthetases). tRNAs cope with the degeneracy of the genetic code in two manners: having more than one tRNA (with a specific anti-codon) for a particular amino acid; and 'wobble' base-pairing, i.e. permitting non-standard base-pairing at the 3rd anti-codon position. Lineage: Eukaryota; Metazoa; Arthropoda; Malacostraca; Decapoda; Palinuridae. The record is from RNAcentral.
UUUUUUAUAGUGUAACCCGAACACAUUACAUUUUCGAUGUAAAGAUGAAGAUUUGUACCUCUUCUAAAAAUA